This 306-nucleotide ribosomal RNA is filed under the name uncultured bacterium. RNAcentral's name for it is "bacterial SSU rRNA". It matches the Rfam family "Bacterial small subunit ribosomal RNA", at positions 490 to 793 of the family's 1533-position model. The record is from RNAcentral.
GCACCGGCUAACUCCGUGCCAGCAGCCGCGGUAAUACGGAGGGUGCGAGCGUUAAUCGGAAUUACUGGGCGUAAAGCGCAUGCAGGUGGUUUGUUAAGUCAGAUGUGAAAGACCCGGGGCUCAACCUCGGAAUAGCAUUUGAAACUGGCAGACUAGAGUACUGUAGAGGGGGGUAGGAAUUUCAGGUGUAGCGGUGAAAUGCGUAGAGAUCUGAAGGAAUACCGGUGGCGAAGGCGGCCCCCUGGACAGAUACUGACACUCAGAUGCGAAAGCGUGGGGAGCAAACAGGAUUAGAUACCCUGGUAG